Molecule: unclassified non-coding RNA, 263 nt
Filed under: plant metagenome
Description: partial contains small subunit ribosomal RNA, internal transcribed spacer 1, and 5.8S ribosomal RNA
Source: RNAcentral
UUUCCGUAGGUGAACCUGCGGAAGGAUCAUUAUUGUAUAACCGAGGUGCGAGGGCUGUCGCUGACCCGAAAGGUCGUGCACGCCCGAGUGCCCUCACACACAUCCAUCUCACCCCUAUGUGCACCACCGCGUGAGUCCCCCUUUGGCUUGUUCGGAGGGGGGCUUACGUUUUCACACAAACUUUGUAUGCAGUGUAGAGUGUAUUUUUUGUUUUUGCGAUCACGCAAUCAAUACAACUUUCAACAACGGAUCUCUUGGCUCUC